This 180-nucleotide non-coding RNA is filed under the name Albugo candida. RNAcentral's name for it is "Eukaryotic large subunit ribosomal RNA". It matches the Rfam family "Eukaryotic large subunit ribosomal RNA", at positions 2145 to 2318 of the family's 3401-position model. The record is from Rfam by way of RNAcentral. Lineage: Eukaryota; Oomycota; Peronosporomycetes; Albuginales; Albuginaceae.
ACGAAAUAAUAAAACAUUGUGAUAGCCGGAGACGAUGUUGACGCAAUGUGAUUUCUGCCCAGUGAUUUGAAUGUCAAAAUGAAGAGAUUCAACCAAGCGCGGGUAAACGACGGGAGUAACUAUGUCUCUCUUAAGGUAGCCAAAUGCCUCGUCAAUGUAGCUAAUUACUGAUGGAAAUAA